This 693-nucleotide ribosomal RNA is filed under the name uncultured Planctomycetota bacterium. RNAcentral's name for it is "bacterial SSU rRNA". It matches the Rfam family "Bacterial small subunit ribosomal RNA", at positions 8 to 730 of the family's 1533-position model. The record is from RNAcentral. Lineage: Bacteria; Pseudomonadati; Planctomycetota.
AGAGUUUGAUCCUGGCUCAGCCUGAACGCUGGCGGCGUGGCUAAGACAUGCAAGUCGUACGGUGUAGCAAUACACAGUGGCGGACGGGUGAGUAAUGAAUCGCUAAUGUACCCCAGAGUCUGGGAUAGCUGCCCGAAAGGGCAGGUAAUACCAGAUGAUAUAUCCGGUUGGCAUCAACUGGAUCUCAAAGGGCAAUCGCUCUGGGAGCAGGCGAUUUCGUAUCAGCUUGUUGGUGAGGUAACGGCUCACCAAGGCGACGACGCGUAGCUGGUCUGAGAGGACGGCCAGCCACAUUGGGACUGAGACACUGCCCAGACUCCUACGGGGGGCUGCAGUAACGAAUCUUCCGCAAUGCACGCAAGUGUGACGGAGCGACGCCGCGUGUGGGACGAAGUCCUUCGGGAUGUAAACCACUGUCAGGGGUUACCAAGUUCUGAGGAGCCCCAGAGGAAGAGACGGCUAACUCUGUGCCAGCAGCCGCGGUAAUACAGAGGUCUCGAGCGUUAGGCGGAAUCACUGGGCUUAAAGCGUGUGUAGGUGGAUGCCUAAGUACCUUGUGAAAUCCCACGGCUUAACCGUGGAACUGCUUGGUAUACUGGGUGUCUUGAGUCACUCAGGGGCGAGCGGAACAAAUGGUGGAGCGGUGAAAUGCGUAGAUAUCAUUUGGAACGCCAAUGGUGAAAACAGCUCGCU